This 446-nucleotide ribosomal RNA is filed under the name uncultured bacterium. Its description in RNAcentral is "partial 16S ribosomal RNA". It matches the Rfam family "Bacterial small subunit ribosomal RNA", at positions 338 to 795 of the family's 1533-position model. The record is from RNAcentral.
CCUACGGGAGGCAGCAGUCGAGAAUCAUUCACAAUGGGGGAAACCCUGAUGGUGCGACGCCGCGUGGGGGAAUGAAGGUCUUCGGAUUGUAAACCCCUGUCAUGUGGGAGCAAAUGAAGAAGAUAGUACCACAAGAGGAAGAGACGGCUAACUCUGUGCCAGCAGCCGCGGUAAUACAGAGGUCUCAAGCGUUGUUCGGAAUCCCUGGGCGUAAAGCGUGCGUAGGCUGUUGCGUAAGUCGUGUGUGAAAGGCGCGGGCUCAACCCGCGGACGGCACAUGAUACUGCGAGACUAGAGUGAUGGAGGGGGAAUCGGAAUUCGCGGUGUAGCAGUGAAAUGCGUAGAGAUCGAGAGGAACACUCGUGGCGAAGGCGGGUUCCUGGACAUUUACUGACGCUGAGGCACGAAGGCCAGGGGAGCGAAAGGGAUUAGAUACCCGAGUAGUC